Molecule: unclassified non-coding RNA, 380 nt
Filed under: uncultured bacterium
Lineage: Bacteria
Description: contains 16S-23S intergenic spacer region
Source: RNAcentral
UCCUGGUUUCCCAGGCAGUCCCAUCAGAGUGCUCCCGUGAGGGAUAGCAACUGACGGCAAGAGUUGCGCUCGUUAAAGGACUUAACCCAACAUCUCACGACACGAGCUGACGACAGCCAUGCAGCACCUGUGAAUCUGUCCAGACUUACGCCUGGAAAGCUCUAUUUCUAGAGCGGUCAGAAACAUGUCAAGCCUAGGUAAGGUUCCUCGCGUAGUGUCGAAUUAAACCACAUGUUCCACCGCUUGUGCGGACCCCCGUCAAUUCCUUUGAGUUUUAAUCUUGCGACCGUACUCCCCAGGCGGAUCACUUAACGCGUUAGCUACGACACUCGCCCAUAAAGGGCAAUCGUCUAGUGAUCAUCGUUUACAGCGUGGACUAC